GCUCAGCGUAAGUUCAAUCAGGAAGACAACAUCAUCGGGUGUCACACGUUAUUUCAAUAAGUGAUCAGGGGCAUUACGCCCCGGCUAGCCAAUCAUUGCACCUGCUAACCUCUUUAAAUCUGCUCUCCCCUUCCUGUCAGUUGUCAUUUCAGGUGUCAACGCACAACCCUCCUCCACCCCUUCGCCUCCUGUCUCCUAAAUACAGGGCCAAGCUAAACCUUCUCCCUUCAGAUCGGACUGAACUACUAUCACCACCACCAGUGUCUAGACCCCGGGGGGUUCAUCAGAGCGGUUCUUUCCCUCCUGAAUGAUCAUCCUGCAAACCCGGGGCCUAAUCGCCAAAACAUCAUUACAGUUACUUGUUGUAAUACGUCAAUCACUAUUCCCGCAUAUCAUGUGUCCCGAUAAUAAACAUGUACUCAUACA
Gymnodraco acuticeps is the source of this 426-nucleotide long non-coding RNA. RefSeq lists it as uncharacterized. NCBI's taxonomy places the organism in Eukaryota, Metazoa, Chordata, Actinopteri, Perciformes, Bathydraconidae. The transcript has 2 exons. The record is from RefSeq and is a predicted model, not a curated record.